UGGCGGCACUAGCGCGGUGGUCCCACCUGACCCCAUGCCGAACUCAGAAGUGAAACGCCGUAGCGCCGAUGGUAGUGUGGGGUCUCCCAUGCGAGAGUAGGGAACUGCCAGGCA
This 114-nucleotide ribosomal RNA is filed under the name Salmonella enterica subsp. enterica. Lineage: Bacteria; Pseudomonadati; Pseudomonadota; Gammaproteobacteria; Enterobacterales; Enterobacteriaceae. The record is from RNAcentral.